RNAcentral lists this ribosomal RNA (502 nucleotides) under uncultured bacterium. Its description in RNAcentral is "partial 16S ribosomal RNA". It matches the Rfam family "Bacterial small subunit ribosomal RNA", at positions 30 to 523 of the family's 1533-position model. The record is from RNAcentral.
AUUGAACGCUGGCGGCAGGCUUAACACAUGCAAGUCGAGCAGGGUGAUGGUGCUUGCACUAUCACUUAGCGGCGGACGGGUGAGUAAUGCUUAGGAAUCUGCCUAUUAGUGGGGGACAACAUCUCGAAAGGGAUGCUAAUACCGCAUACGUCCUACGGGAGAAGGCAGGGGAUCACUGUGACCUUGCGCUGAUAGAUGAGCCUAAGUCGGAUUAGCUAGUUGGUGGGGUAAAGGCCUACCAAGGCGACGAUCUGUAGCGGGUCUGAGAGGAUGAUCCGCCACACUGGGAGUGGGACACGGCCCAGACUCCUACGGGAGGCAGCAGUGGGGAAUAUUGGACAAUGGGUGGAACCCUGAUCCAGCCAUGCCGCGUGUGUGAAGAAGGCCUUAUGGUUGUAAAGCACUUUAAGCGAGGAGGAGGCUCUUUUGGUUAAUACCCAAGAUGAGUGGACGUUACUCGCAGAAUAAGCACCGGCUAACUCUGUGCCAGCCGCCGCCGUAA